GACGGGAUAACAGUGGGAAACCACUGCUAAAACCCGAUGUGCCGGGAGGUGAAAUAUUAAUAGCCUGAAGAAGAGCUCGCGUCUGAUUAGCUAGAUGGUGGGGUAAGAGCCUACCAUGGCGACGAUCAGUAGCUGGUCUGAGAGGAUGAGCAGCCACACUGGGACUGAGACACGGCCCAGACUCCUACGGGAGGCAGCAGUGGGGAAUUUUCCGCAAUGGGCGAAAGCCUGACGGAGCAACGCCGCGUGAGGGAGGAAGGUCUUUGGAUUGUCAACCUCUUUUCUCAAGGAAGAAAAAAAUGACGGUACUUGAGGAAGAAGCAUCGGCUAACUCCGUGCCAGCAGCCGCGGUAAUACGGAGGAUGCAAGCGUUAUCCGGAAUCAUUGGGCGUAAAGCGUCCGCAGGUGGUGUGGUAAGUCUGGGGUCAAAGACAGAAGCUCAACUUCUGAAGGGCCCUUGAAACUGCCAGACUAGAGGCAGGUAGGGGUAGCAGGAAUUCCCAGUGUAGCGGUGAAAUGCGUAGAGAUUGGGAAGAACAUCGGUGGCGAAAGCGUGCUACUGGGCUUAGCCUGACACUGAGGACGAAAGC
RNAcentral lists this ribosomal RNA (590 nucleotides) under uncultured cyanobacterium. RNAcentral describes it as "bacterial SSU rRNA". It matches the Rfam family "Bacterial small subunit ribosomal RNA", at positions 136 to 760 of the family's 1533-position model. The record is from RNAcentral. Lineage: Bacteria; Bacillati; Cyanobacteriota.